UGGACCAAUGAGGAUCGCUGAUGGUAUAUGCGUUAUUGUAUACGAUGAAUAUGUGUCUGGAACUCUGAGGGUUCCGU
RNAcentral lists this small nucleolar RNA (77 nucleotides) under Catagonus wagneri (Chacoan peccary). RNAcentral describes it as "Small nucleolar RNA SNORD113/SNORD114 family (ENSCWAG00000005367.1)". It matches the Rfam family "Small nucleolar RNA SNORD113/SNORD114 family". From Rfam's summary of the family: The imprinted human domain at 14q32 contains two clusters of tandemly repeated small nucleolar RNAs named 14q(I) and 14q(II) snoRNAs. These two clusters are named SNORD113 and SNORD114 respectively in the HGNC approved gene symbol nomenclature. Lineage: Eukaryota; Metazoa; Chordata; Mammalia; Artiodactyla; Tayassuidae. The record is from Rfam by way of RNAcentral.